Long non-coding RNA from Homo sapiens (human), 3119 nucleotides. The record is from Ensembl. NCBI's taxonomy places the organism in Eukaryota, Metazoa, Chordata, Mammalia, Primates, Hominidae.
CUUUAUAGCUGUUACUCUUUUGUACUUUGUCUUUUUCUUUUAUUUUCUUUUGAGCGAUUGUGCGAACAUAGCAUAGCACGCACUAUGCCUUCUGUGUUGUAGCUGCCUGGCCAGGGCGACUGGCGGAUAAGGUCUUGUGCGUGGCCUCGAGGCUUAAAAGUAGCAGUGGGGCUUUGUGAAGGACAAAAUGGCGAUGGCGGGCCGUGUAGGUCCCCCUUCCUAUGAUGAGGACCUUUUCACAGACCUGUACUGAGCUCCGUGAGGAUAAAUAACUCUGAGGAGAUGGGCCCUGCAAGCCUCUUGCUUAGCCGUCUGUUCAGAAAAUAGCGUUUUCGAAAUGCCCUGAGUUGACCUAAUGUCUUAUUGGGCUCCUGUCUGCAGGAUUUACGCGCACGUUGGAACCGAAGAGAGCUCUGUUGUUGCAAUGUUCAGCCCACAAGAGCUUACUGGUGAAGGAAUGGGACAAGACCCAUCUUUAUGCAAAGCCAGCGUUACAGUAAUGUUCCAGGUAGGUGUACAUGGUUUAUGCUCUUACAGAGGAGACCUUGUAGAUAACCACUCCAUGAUGAACACAAAAUGACAAGCAUAUGGCUGAACUUUCAAGUGAUGUCAUCUUACUACUGAGAAGUGAGAGAGAGGUCUUAAGGGGUCUUUGAAUGACUAUUUUUAGGUACAUAAAAUGCUUUCCUCUGUUGUCUACAGCAUCUCAUAAUCUAUCCUGGGGAAUUCAGCUGCCUCCCAGGGUGAAUACAGGUAAUUAUCCAAAUUGGUGUAUGUCAUCUUUGUAAAUGUUCAAGAAAACAAGUGGCCGGCGGAACAAUGUUUUUUGGCGCCUUCCAUCUUGUUCCUCUUGAAAUGAUUUUCUGGGGAGGGAGAUCGCAACCCGGUACUACAGUUCUUGUAAGGGUGUGCUGUUACCCUCAUCCAUAUAUCGAUCACGUUACUGUCAGAUGAUUUGAAUUGAUAAGCUGAUGUUCUGUGAGGUACAAAAGUUAAUAGCAUGUUAGAGUUCUGAUGGCAGUUGUUGUUUAUGAAUAAGCUUCAUUCCAUCCUAAUACCUUAAAAUAACUAAUUUGCUUUCCUUUCCAGGUAUUCCUGAUGACAGUCUGCCUCUAUCUUACAGUAAGUUGUUUUUCGAAUUCUAUGGGCCUAUUAUCUAAUAGAUAACUUAGCCAUUUUGAUAUUUGUUACCAAAGCCUGCUUAACCCAUAAAGUUUUCUGGUUCCUCUUGUUCUCUGUAGUGAUGUUUCUAGAUAGAUGCCCACUGAUAUAUGCCCCUUUUUUCUCAGAUAGAUGCCCACUGAUCUGCCCAGGGUCAGACGAAUGCUUGUCAGUUGUAGCUUUCCAGGAUUCUGCUCCAAUGAGGAGGAAACAUCCUGCCUUACCCCUGUUUUAGCCUGGGAACCAGUAAUUGUGAACUCACCAGGGUUAACAUGAAGAGGGCAUGAGAGCUUAUUCCAUAAGGAAUUGUCUGAGACAUUUGGUUACCUUUUCUUAGUUUGUCCAUUAGCAACCGUAACUAAAAUAGUUUUGGCUGUUUGGGAUAAUUAGCUAAUUGAAUGAUUUUUUGAUUCAGGAGCAGCUUGUUGCUAUAUACCAUUGAAAAGCCUUCAGAGCUGAGAGGUACUACUAACCAAUAACCUGCUUGGCUCAAAGGGCCAGCACCUUCUCUCUAAAGCCCAAGAGGAGUUUGAGGUAAAUGGCUUUGCAAUAGUUACCAUCAAUGGCUGCUAUAUAAAAUUUUCUGUGAUUUUUGUGUGUGAUAGCACUGUGGUCUGGGUGAAUGUACACAGACAUAACUGGCUUAACCCAAAGUCUUUGAUCUCCUGAACCACCAGUGAUGAAUUGCUGCUCACCAGUGAUGAGUUGAAUACCGCCCCAGUCUGAUCAAUGUGUGACUGAAAGGUAUUUUCUGAGCUGUGAGCCUGCCUUCCAGUGACAUGUUCUAAAAAUUGCAAGUUAUUUGAGGAGGCUUUACAGCCAAUAGGAAGUUCUUGGGCUAAGUAGUGUUUCCUAUAAAAUGUGCCCUGAAACUUCUUUCUGCCAAGCAAUAGAUACAAUUGAGAGAUUGUAAAAUGUGACAUAGAAUGAAAGUCUCUCAAGACUACAUUUUUCUUUCUUGAUUUUGCAGGAAAACUAGGUGUCUGUGUUCACUCCAGGCUGAAGUUACAGGUGAGUAAACCUAAAUGUAAGGUGGACUAUGCUAAAAAUUCCCAAUGAAGAAACUUUCACAUGUCUUACUCUCUGUCCUAGUCCCAGAGCCUGUAAAGGUGAACCCACUGGGACUGGCUGGGGGAGAAGAGGAAGAUUUGUUCCAGAAGGAACUGUCUGAGGGAUGAUAAAGAUUUCUAUACAGAGAAAGGGAGUAAUCAUCACUUGUUGAAAACAUUGGUUUUAUUUUUUCCAGGUCUGAGCAAAUAAGGUGUAUAAAAAAUGGAAUCUGUCUUGGAGGACAUCAGAAGGUGAAUUUUCCAAGUUCUUGGACAACCUAGCUGUUGAAAAGCUUUCUGGGUUUGGGGGGUAUUUCAGAUGUACCUUAAAGUGUUAGCAGACACAGAUUAAGACACUGGGAGCCAAUGAAACAGCAGUUGAGGGUUUGCUGUGUAUCACAUUUCUGUAUUUUAUCACCCCCUUCCUGCAACAUUAUUUAUCUGGAAUCUACCUGCCCUUUUGUUUUUUAGAUACAAGGGCUUGGUUUUGUUACCCAGGCUGGUUUCAAGGCCAUAGCUUUAAGAGAUCCUCUCACCACAGAUUUCCAAAGUGCUGGGAUUGCAGGUGUGAUUCAUGGCACCCAGACUUUGCUGCCUUUCUUACAUGAUCCAGGCCCAGAACCCAAACUCAGGCACUGUAUAGAUGACCACUUUCGUAAACUACUGACCUAGCUUGUUGCCAAUUGUUGAUUGAACUUCCCAUAACUCCACUUCGUGUCUGUUCCUCUGUAUACAGCCACCUUCUGUUCCCGUCAUGAGCCUUUAGGUCUCCAUUUGCAUAUUGCAAAUACUAUGUUCCAUGUAGGUAGCUCAUUCAGGGCCUUGCUCUUCACUUCAAAAAAGGUUCCCUUGAGGACUGGCUGUCAAUUUGUGUUGCUGUGUUGGUUGUUGAUGAAAAUAAUAAAAUGA